AGUGAACGCUGGCGGUAGGCCUAACACAUGCAAGUCGAACGGCAGCACAGUAAGAGCUUGCUCUUACGGGUGGCGAGUGUCGGACGGGUGAGGAAUACAUCGGAAUCUACUUUUUCGUGGGGGCUAACGUAGGGAAACUUACGCUAAUACCGCAUACGACCUACGGGUGAAAGCAGGGGAUCUUCUGACCUUGCGCGAUUGAAUGAGCCGAUGUCGGAUUAGCUAGUUGGCGGGGUAAAGGCCCACCAAGGCGACGAUCCGUAGCUGGUCUGAGAGGAUGAUCAGCCACACUGGAACUGAGACACGGUCCAGACUCCUACGGGAGGCAGCAGUGGGGAAUAUUGGACAAUGGGCGCAAGCCUGAUACAGCCAUACCGCGUGGGUGAAGAAGGCCUUCGGGUUGUAAAGCCCUGUUGUUGGGAAAGAAAAGCAGCAGGUUAAUACCCCGCUGUUCUGACGGUACCCAAAGAAUAAGCACCGGCUAACUUCGUG
Molecule: ribosomal RNA, 492 nt
Filed under: uncultured bacterium
Lineage: Bacteria
Description: partial 16S ribosomal RNA
Rfam family: Bacterial small subunit ribosomal RNA
Source: RNAcentral